Long non-coding RNA from Clupea harengus (Atlantic herring), 1000 nucleotides. Lineage: Eukaryota; Metazoa; Chordata; Actinopteri; Clupeiformes; Clupeidae. The record is from Ensembl.
GGCCUUGAGGCUUGUAAAGGUGGCAUCACAAACAACAACUGAUUCGUCCCAAACAACAACUGAUUCGUCCCAAACAACAACUGAUUCGUCCCAAAUAACAACUCAUUCUGGAGUGGCCCAGUCCCUAAUCUGGCUGAGCUGGGUCUGUCCAAGGAUCACCUGUGGUCAGGGGUAAUUGGUGUGUCACGAACGCCACACGCUCUCAGCACACAUACACACACACGAACGCCACACGCUCCCAGCACACACACACACACACACACAAACGCUGCACGCUAUCAGCACACACACACGAACGCCACACACUCUCAGCGCACACACACACACACAUGAACGCCACACGCUCUCAGCACACACACACACACACACACACACACACACACACGAACGCCACACGCUCUCAGCACAAUGAUGCGCAGGGAGAGUUCUGUCACGAACGCUGCACGCUCUCAGCACAAUGAUGCGCAAGGAGAGUUCUGUACUGUUCUUGGCCCUGUUUAGCGUUAAGGCCCAGGUUGUGGCUAAAACGUGCUAAUGGAGAAAACAAUGGAGUUAACUCCAGGCUGUGGCCUCCAGUGAGACUGGCCAAUCUGAAGGGCUGAGACCCAAGGGGAUGAGAACCAUAUGGCUGAGAACCAUUGGGCUGAGAACGAUAGAGUUAAGAACCAAGAGGAUGAGAACCAUAGAGCUGAGAACCAUAGAGUUAAGAACCAAGAGGAUGAGAACCAUAGAGUUAAAAACCAAGGGGAUGAGAACCAAUAGAGUUAAGAACCAAGGGGAUGAGAACUGAAGGGUUCCUAAAGAAUGAUAACGAAGUCCAGUUGCUGGGCCUAAUUUUGUGACGACGGAGCAGAGAUUAGUGUCUGUUGUUUUUAUAUCUUCACGUGUCUAAGUGUCAAAACAAUCCACAUUUCCUUUGACAGGCUGCUGAGUGUGCUGUUCAUGGUCCUGAAGCUUGAUUUCAGUGGCCGCGUGACAAGGUGUUGUGUGUGUGUGUGUG